CUCAGGCUAAAACCAUGCCUAGCCUCUCUGGUAUCCACAAAACCGAUGAGAACGACGACGGGGUCACCGAGGUAAGUAUUUUCUUUCCCUUUUAUUAUAUGUAUAUGCUUAUGUAUAGGCUAACAGCAAAACAGAAAAAAGAAAACCUAAAGAAAAAGGAACCCAAUCGAGAAAAGAGAAAAAGAAAACCUUUCUUGUGUAUUGAUUUCAUUUUUCUCAUUCAAUAUGCCUGUGUCCUCCACAGAUUCUGAAAAAUGGCUUUUUAUAUAGCCGAAAAAGAUAAAAAAUUACAAAAUAAAGAUAUAUUUUUGCUCUGUUCUUUCUUUUUUUUUUAUUUCUAUUAUUUUUUGCUAGCCUAUUUUGCUUUGCUGUUGUUCUCUUCCUGCUUUUCUUGCUACGUGUUUUUGC
Molecule: long non-coding RNA, 408 nt
Filed under: Gossypium raimondii (Peruvian cotton)
Lineage: Eukaryota; Viridiplantae; Streptophyta; Magnoliopsida; Malvales; Malvaceae
Description: long non-coding RNA (GRAI_LNC003486)
Source: RNAcentral